This 727-nucleotide long non-coding RNA is filed under the name Equus caballus (horse). Its description in RNAcentral is "lncRNA (ENSECAG00000052445.1)". Lineage: Eukaryota; Metazoa; Chordata; Mammalia; Perissodactyla; Equidae. The record is from RNAcentral.
CUUAGUGUCAGCUCAGUCACUAUGACAAGUUACCAGUGACCCGGGCUGCAGAUGCCUCCUCGCUCCAACUCUUACCCUGCCAUGAAGUAAACAAUCACGUUAUUCUUUCGGUGGCAUUCUCUGAUGCCCACGUCAGACAGUUUGUUUAUCUACAACAAUAUGGGAGGAAUGCUGCUUCACGUGCUCACAGGGAAGAACACGUAACUCAACAUCCACAUUGCCGCAGGUCCUGUGCCCUUUGGGUCAUUCAACCUUCAAAGCAAGCUGCUGAGGAAAGGCUCUGAUAUGGCGUGUCUUUCCACCUCUCUCGCUCCCAUAAAAAGCGCUCCUUCCAAGAUAUAUACGGCAGGAAUGAAGAUUGGAUCAGGUCUUCUCAACUUUCUUCAUUCGCAGGCCUAGAGUCAUAAUUGUCUUCUGACUAAUGAGCCCCGAAGCCCUACAGAAUCCUGAAUUAUUCAAAGAAAAUUAAAAUAUUUUCCCUCUCCUGUAUCUCCAAGCCUUCUCCCCACCCCCCAAAACAGUCUGUGAACAGAAAGCUUGAAAUAAAUUUUCUUCUUAGUUGGCGCUAAGCAGAACAGCCAAAACGGCAACAAUAAAACCAACCCAUUUCCCAAGAAUUCUAGUUAUGUGGCUUUUUGCUAUAGUCGCAGCAGCGUCUUUUAGGCCGACUUUGGCCGCAGUAUGAGGAAUUCAGGUUACACAAAAGUCAUUCUCUUAGGAGCAUUGC